AACUUUUGGCAAUGGAUCACUUGGCUCUCGCAUCGAUGAAGAACGCAGCGAAAUGCGAUAAGUAAUGUGAAUUGCAGAAUUCAGUGAAUCAUAGAAUCUUUGAACGCACCUUGCGCUCCUUGGUAUUCCGAGGAGCAUGCCUGUUUGAGUGUCAUUAAUAUAUAUCAAACUUCUCUUGUUGAGUUGUUUGGAUGUGGGGGUUUGCUGGCCUCUUAAAGGGGUUCAGCUCUCCUGAAAUGCAUUAGCAGAACAACCUGUUCAUUGGUGUGAUAACUAUCUACGCUAUUGAAUGUGAAGGGAAGUUCAGCUUUCUAACAGUCCUUGGACAAUUUACAUCAUUAAUGUGACCUCAAAUCAGGUAGGACUACCCGCUGAAUUUAAGCAUAUCAAUAAGCGGAGGCU
Molecule: unclassified non-coding RNA, 402 nt
Filed under: uncultured Cortinarius
Lineage: Eukaryota; Fungi; Basidiomycota; Agaricomycetes; Agaricales; Cortinariaceae
Description: sequence contains ITS2
Rfam family: 5.8S ribosomal RNA (bases 1-154)
Source: RNAcentral